This 277-nucleotide ribosomal RNA is filed under the name uncultured bacterium. Its description in RNAcentral is "partial 16S ribosomal RNA". It matches the Rfam family "Bacterial small subunit ribosomal RNA", at positions 234 to 509 of the family's 1533-position model. The record is from RNAcentral.
CGUCUGAUUAGGUAGUUCGGCGGGGUAACGGCCCACCGAGCCUGUCGAUCAGUAGGGGUUCUGAGAGGAAGGUCCCCACAUUGGUACUGAGACACGGACCAAACUCCUACGGGAGGCAGCAGUGAGGAAUAUUGGUCAAUGGGCGAGAGCCUGAACCAGCCAAGUAGCGUGCAGGAUGACGGCCCUAUGGGUUGUAAACUGCUUUAUGCGGGGAUAAAGUGAGGGACGUGUCCCUUUUGUAGGUACCGCAUGAAUAAGGACCGGCUAAUUCCGUGCC